Molecule: ribosomal RNA, 253 nt
Filed under: Segatella copri DSM 18205
Lineage: Bacteria; Pseudomonadati; Bacteroidota; Bacteroidia; Bacteroidales; Prevotellaceae
Description: Prevotella copri DSM 18205 partial 16S ribosomal RNA
Rfam family: Bacterial small subunit ribosomal RNA
Source: RNAcentral
UACGGAAGGUCCGGGCGUUAUCCGGAUUUAUUGGGUUUAAAGGGAGCGUAGGCCGGAGAUUAAGCGUGUUGUGAAAUGUAGACGCUCAACGUCUGCACUGCAGCGCGAACUGGUUUCCUUGAGUACGCACAAAGUGGGCGGAAUUCGUGGUGUAGCGGUGAAAUGCUUAGAUAUCACGAAGAACUCCGAUUGCUAAGGCAGCUCACUGGAGCGCAACUGACGCUGAAGCUCGAAAGUGCGGGUAUCGAACAGG